Molecule: small nucleolar RNA, 128 nt
Organism: Suncus etruscus (white-toothed pygmy shrew)
Lineage: Eukaryota; Metazoa; Chordata; Mammalia; Eulipotyphla; Soricidae
Product: small nucleolar RNA SNORA51
Exons: 1
Source: RefSeq, a predicted model, not a curated record
GGCCUCCCAAUGCUUACCAAAGGCUGUGUUAUUUACACUGAAAAGAAAGAGGAGGUACAGUAAAUGCUCCACAUAUACACCUCAAACCAGGACCUUUGCCUGGUCUGUAUUGUGAAUGGGGGACAAAA